RNAcentral lists this transfer RNA (71 nucleotides) under Mesocricetus auratus (golden hamster). It matches the Rfam family "tRNA". Rfam says of the family: Transfer RNA (tRNA) molecules are approximately 80 nucleotides in length. Lineage: Eukaryota; Metazoa; Chordata; Mammalia; Rodentia; Cricetidae. The record is from Rfam by way of RNAcentral.
GAGAUGGCUCAAUGAUUAAGAGCACUUGCUUUGCAAUCAAGAGGACCUGAGUUCAGAUCUCAACAUUCUCA